AGCUUUACAUUACCCUGCAAUACCAUCAGCUUUUCAGUACGGUGUAAUACCAUCAGCUUUAUACUACCCUGUAAUACCAUCAGCUUUACACUACCCUGUAAUACCAUCAGCUUUACAGUACGGUGUAAUACCAUCAGCUUUACACUACCCUGUAAUACCAUCAGCUUUAUACUACCCUGUAAUACCAUCAGCUUUAUACUACACUGUAAUACCAUCAGCUUUAUACUACCCUGUAAUACCAUCAUCUUUAUACUACCCUGUAAUACCAUCAGCUUUAUACUACCCUGUAAUACCAUCAGCUUUAUACUAUGGUGUAAUACCAUCAGCUUUACACUACCCUGUAAUACCAUCAGCUUUAUACUACCCUGUAAUACCAUUAGCAUUAUACUACCCUGCAAUACCAUCAGCUUUACAGUACGGUGUAAUACAAUCAGCUUUAUACUACCCUGUAAUACCAUCAGCUUUACAGUACGGUGUAAUACCAUCAGCUUUACACUACCCUGUAAUACCAUCAGCUUUAUACUACCCUGUAAUACCAUCAGCUUUAUACUACCCUGUAAUACCAUCAGCUUUAUACUACCCUGUAAUACCAUCAGCUUUAUACUAUGGUGUAAUACCAUCAGCUUUACACUACCCUGUAAUACCAUCAGCUUUAUACUAUGGUGUAAUACCAUCAGCUUUACACUACCCUGUAAUACCAUCAGCUUUAUACUACCCUGUAAUACCAUCAGCUUUAUACUAUGGUGUAAUACCAUCAGCUUUACACUACCCUGUAAUACCAUCAGCUUUAUACUACCCUGUAAUACCAUCAGCUUUAUACUACCCUGUAAUACCAUCAGCUUUAUACUACCCUGUAAUACCAUCAGCUUUACACUACCCUGUAAUACCAUCAGCUUUACAGUACGGUGUAAUACCAUCAGCUUUACAGUACGGUGUAAUACCAUCAGCUUUACACUACCCUGUAAUACCAGCAGCUUUAUACUACCCUGUAAUACCAUCAGCUUUAUACUACCCUGUAAUACCAUCAGCUUUAUACUACCCUGUAAUACCAUCAGCUUUACACUACCCUGUAAUACCAUCAGCUUUACAGUACGGUUUAAUACCAUCAGCUUUACACUAUCCUGUAAUACCAUCAGCUUUACACUACCCUGUAAUACCAUCAGCUUUACAGUACGGUGUAAUACCAUCAGCUUUAUACUACCCUGUAAUACCAUCAGCUUUAUACUAUGGGGUAAUACCAUCAGAUUUACACUACCCUGUAAUACCAUCAGCUUUAUACUACCCUGUAAUACCAUCAGCUUUAUACUAUGGUGUAAUACCAUCAGCUUUACACUACCCUGCAAUACCAUCAGCUUUAUACUACCCUGUAAUACCAUCAGCUUUACACUACCCUGUAAUACCAUCAGCUUUACACUACCCUGUUAUACCAUCAGCUUUAUACUACCCUGUAAUACCAUCAGCUUUACACUACCCUGUUAUACCAUCAGCUUUAUACUGUGGUGUCAUACCAUCAGCUUUAUACUAUGGUGUAAUACCAUCAGCUUUACACUACCCUGUAAUACCAUCAGCUUUACACUACCCUGUUAUACCAUCAGCUUUAUACUACCCUGUUAUACCAUCAGCUUUACACUACCCUGUAAUACCAUCAGCUUUAUACUACCCUGUAAUACCAUCAGCUUUACACUACCCUGUAAUACCAUCAGCUUUACAGUACGGUGUAAUACCAUCAGCUUUAUACUACCCUGUAAUACCAUCAGCUUUAUACUGUGGUGUACUAUACUUUACGUUUCAGGGAAUAGGGUGCCUUUUGGGACACAGUCUGCCUGUUAUAUUUGUAUUUUGUCUGAAUCCCCAUUAGCUGCUGCCAACAAUUAA
Long non-coding RNA from Oncorhynchus mykiss (rainbow trout), 1875 nucleotides. The record is from Ensembl. Lineage: Eukaryota; Metazoa; Chordata; Actinopteri; Salmoniformes; Salmonidae.